GUAAAAGCGGAAAGGUUACAUAACAUAGAUUGAAACUUAAGUCCAACGGUUACAAACCAUAAGUAUUUAGUACAUAAAAGGUUCGGAACUUUAUAUUACAUAAACCAUAAGCCACGCAACAAGUUUUACUUGCCCAAGGUCACACAUCAGAUUCAUCAUCAUCACUUUCCUCCACAAGAGUGAAGUAACAACGACCAUCAAAAGGAUUAUCAAAAGGUUCACCUGCAACAUGGGUCAAUAAACCCUGAGUACAAAAGUACUCAACAAGACUUAACCGACUUUAAAAGAGGUGAAGACUCAGGUAUGCAGGCUAUAGGGAUUCAAGGUAAAGCUUUAGCAAAAUCAAAGCAUUUCUUUUGCAUAGAAGCUUACUAAGAUUAAAACCUACUUUCAAGUUUUAACUCAAGAUCAUCAUUUAUGACUAAGCAACAUUAGGAUUAAACUUUCAUAAGCAGACCAUAUCUUUCUUAUUCCAAAGAUUCACUUAUUACUACGAUGAUGGUGUGAGGAUUGAGGCUCCAUAUCCGAGGAAACACGGCGAUUCGAAUCGAUUAAACCCAGCUGGGGAUUCAGUACCACACGACAUAUGUAGAACUUAAUCUUGCAUAUGUCAACCUUUUCUAUAGAUCCUCCCAUACAAGAACGGGUCCAGCGUCACCCGAGAGUACAGUACACCACCAUCCUACAGCCAAUCUAGAUGUUUCCCGGUCAUCUCAGAUCCGUAAGGUGGGUACACGCUACUCUCGCCAUCUCUCCACUCCCAGUACGCGGUUAGCCGUUCUCAAGUAUCGGAAUAGCUAUAGGUAAGGCUUACCAUCGCAUGUGGGCUGUACUCAAAGGUCUCAAACACAGCAGGCCAUCAACGGAACGGUCCUUAAUCGACACAGUUGGAGACACUACUUUAAGACUCCAUUCUUAAAGCAAGUCCACCGACCGGUCUCAAGUUUAAACAUUAUUAACCAUAAAAGUAUUCCACAACAACCCUUCAAACUUUCUCAUUUGAAAACCUAUCUAAUAAGCAGGGCUAAGCAUACUAAGUAUUUUCAUAAAACAAGUAUCAAGGUUAAUAUUGAAAUCAUCAAGGUAGGUAAUGCAGCAAAUAGGAUUCACUCAACUCCUAUUCACCUAAUGCAUCAUAUUAACUCAAGUGAUAUAAAUAACUUUAUGAAAAUACAAGGGUAGGGUUUAAUGUCCGGGGCUUGCCUUGGCCGGAAGGGAAGUUCGACAACUCAGCAAAACCAGAUGGAUCCACAAAC
Molecule: long non-coding RNA, 1256 nt
Filed under: Sorghum bicolor (sorghum)
Lineage: Eukaryota; Viridiplantae; Streptophyta; Magnoliopsida; Poales; Poaceae
Description: long non-coding RNA (SBIC_LNC000425)
Source: RNAcentral